Molecule: ribosomal RNA, 569 nt
Filed under: uncultured bacterium
Lineage: Bacteria
Description: partial 16S ribosomal RNA
Rfam family: Bacterial small subunit ribosomal RNA
Source: RNAcentral
UGGGGAAUUUUGGACAAUGGGCGAAAGCCUGAUCCAGCAAUGCCGCGUGUGUGAAGAAGGCCUUCGGGUUGUAAAGCACUUUUGUCCGGAAAGAAAUCCUUGGCUCUAAUACAGUCGGGGGAUGACGGUACCGGAAGAAUAAGCACCGGCUAACUACGUGCCAGCAGCCGCGGUAAUACGUAGGGUGCAAGCGUUAAUCGGAAUUACUGGGCGUAAAGCGUGCGCAGGCGGUUUGCUAAGACCGAUGUGAAAUCCCCGGGCUCAACCUGGGAACUGCAUUGGUGACUGGCAGGCUAGAGUAUGGCAGAGGGGGGUAGAAUUCCACGUGUAGCAGUGAAAUGCGUAGAGAUGUGGAGGAAUACCGAUGGCGAAGGCAGCCCCCUGGGCCAAGUACUGACGCUCAUGCACGAAAGCGUGGGGAGCAAACAGGAUUAGAUACCCUGGUAGUCCACGCCCUAAAACGAUGUCAACUAGUUGUUGGGGGAUCCAUUUCCUUAGUAACGUAGCUAACGCGUGAAGUUGACCGCCUGGGGAGUACGGUCGCAAGAUUAAAACUCAAAUGAAUUGAC